RNAcentral lists this ribosomal RNA (648 nucleotides) under uncultured archaeon. Its description in RNAcentral is "bacterial SSU rRNA". It matches the Rfam family "Archaeal small subunit ribosomal RNA", at positions 508 to 1160 of the family's 1478-position model. The record is from RNAcentral.
GCUUAAAGGGGCCGUAGCAGGAUUAGUAAAUCUCUUGUGAAAUUGUUAGGCUUAACCUAACAGCGUGCAGGAGACACUGCUAAUCUUGAGACCGGGAGGAGUCAGAGGUAUUCAUGGGGUAGCGGUAAAAUGCAAUAAUCCCAUGAAGACCACCUGUGGCGAAGGCGUCUGACUAGAACGGGUCUGACUGUGAGGGACGAAAGCUGGGGGAGCGAUCCGGAUUAGAUACCCGAGUAGUCCCAGCCGUAAACACUGCGAGCCAGGUGUUGCAUAUUCCAAGAGAAUGUGCAGUGUCGAAGUGAAGACGUUGAGCUCGCCGCCUGGGUAGUACGGUCGCAAGACUGAAACUUAAAGGAAUAGGCGGGGGAGCACUACAAGGGGUGCGGCGUGCGGUUUAAUCCAACUCAACGCGGAGAAUCUCACCAGAGGCGACGGCAGAAUGAAAGUCAGACUGAAGGUCUUACUUAACAAGCCGAGAGGUGGUGCAUGGCCGCCGUCGGCUCGUGCUGUGAAGUGUCCUGUUAAGUCAGGCAACGAGCGAGACCUGUAUCCACAAUUGCCAACGAAGUUUCUGAUCGGGCACAUUGUGGGGACUGCCUUGGAAACAAGGAGGAAGGUGCAGGCAACGGUAGGUCCGCAUGCCCCUAA